Molecule: long non-coding RNA, 528 nt
Filed under: Cricetulus griseus (Chinese hamster)
Lineage: Eukaryota; Metazoa; Chordata; Mammalia; Rodentia; Cricetidae
Description: lncRNA (ENSCGRG00000026547.1)
Source: RNAcentral
AGGGAUUGAACUUCAAGCAGAGGCUCUGGGCUGGACUAGUGCACCCUUUCAAGUAACUGCUCCCGAAGACGAUCUGUGGUUUCUGUCUCGUGGGAGGACCUUCGUGGUACCAAGCACCACACAUGACUUAAUGAAUAAGGCUUCCAAAUGACAAAGAAUCUAUCCCAAACUAUCAUCACAUCCUUUCUGCUAAGCCAGAGGCAGGCAGGUGAUGCCAUUGAAGCUGACAGAGUCAAGGCCUGUCUGUGUUGUUGACAGGAGCCCUCUUCAUGACAGUCUGGGAUUCCUCCUACCCAUAGUACAUGACACUCCCUGCAUUGGCUGACUGUUGGAACAGAGACAAGUGCCUCAAGACAUCCGACAGGCUUUUCCCUUGCCUCUUAAAAGUUUGAUCCAGUUAUAUCCUGUCAUUAAGGCUGACCUGAGUGCAUCACUUAACUUUAUCAUUUGCUGUUUUCCUGCUCUGUGACAAAACAUCAUGACUAAAGCAACUUAUGGAAGAAAGAAUAUCUUGGCUUUCGGGUCCAG